AUUGAACGCUGGCGGCAUGCCUUACACAUGCAAGUCGAACGGCAGCGCGGGCUUCGGCCUGGCGGCGAGUGGCGAACGGGUGAGUAAUGUAUCGGAACGUGCCCUAGAGUGGGGGAUAACUAGUCGAAAGAUUGGCUAAUACCGCAUACGAUCUAAGGAUGAAAGCGGGGGAUCGCAAGACCUCGUGCUCAUGGAGCGGCCGAUAUCUGAUUAGCUAGUUGGUGGGGUAAAGGCCUACCAAGGCGACGAUCAGUAGCUGGUCUGAGAGGACGACCAGCCACACUGGGACUGAGACACGGCCCAGACUCCUACGGGAGGCAGCAGUGGGGAAUUUUGGACAAUGGGGGCAACCCUGAUCCAGCAAUGCCGCGUGUGUGAAGAAGGCCUUCGGGUUGUAAAGCACUUUUGUCCGGAAAGAAAUUGCCUGAGCUAAUACCUUGGGUAGAUGACGGUACCGGAAGAAUAAGCACCGGCUAACUACGUGCCAGCAGCCGCCGUAA
This 500-nucleotide ribosomal RNA is filed under the name uncultured bacterium. Its description in RNAcentral is "partial 16S ribosomal RNA". It matches the Rfam family "Bacterial small subunit ribosomal RNA", at positions 30 to 523 of the family's 1533-position model. The record is from RNAcentral.